CCGGCGCACGGGUGAGUAACGCGUAUGUAAUCUACCUGUAACAGAGGGAUAACCCGGAGAAAUCCGGACUAAUACCUCAUAGCACAUAUUAUUCGCAUGAAUUUUAUGUUAAAGAGACUCGGUUACAGAUGAACAUGCGUUCCAUUAGCUAGUUGGCGGGGUUACGGCCCACCAAGGCGACGAUCGGUAGCCGGACUGAGAGGUUGAACGGCCACAUUGGGACUGAGACACGGCCCAG
RNAcentral lists this ribosomal RNA (238 nucleotides) under uncultured bacterium. RNAcentral's name for it is "partial 16S ribosomal RNA". It matches the Rfam family "Bacterial small subunit ribosomal RNA", at positions 95 to 334 of the family's 1533-position model. The record is from RNAcentral.